This 45-nucleotide non-coding RNA is filed under the name Trichobilharzia regenti. Lineage: Eukaryota; Metazoa; Platyhelminthes; Trematoda; Strigeidida; Schistosomatidae. The record is from RNAcentral.
AUCCAGCCGAAGAUUCGCAAGUAGGACGAAAUGCGCAUCCUGGAU